UAGGGUUCGGGUUAGGGCUAGCCCUCGCCCUAACCUAAUAGACUCCCAGGCAGGUGUUUCCAUGGACGGUAAACACAUCCCAGAGCAGCUGCCAAGGGUAUUUGGAAAUGGAAUGUCAGUGGUGUUGUAGAAUUGUGUGUCUCUGCGUGUGUGUGUGCAGCCUGCUUGCGCGUGUGUGUGUGUGUGUGUGUGUGUGUGUGUGUGUGUGUGUGUGUGUGUGUGUGUUCGGGUAAUGUCAUGUGACUGUUAGUAACUGGCUUGUUUCGGUGUCAAAGGUCAAGUUGGGAACAGCACUGUAAACGUAGUGUUAUUCAGUGUUGAUAUUCAAUGUUGUUCAUCAACCCACUUUCUA
This is a long non-coding RNA of Gadus macrocephalus (Pacific cod), 352 nucleotides long. RefSeq lists it as uncharacterized. Lineage: Eukaryota; Metazoa; Chordata; Actinopteri; Gadiformes; Gadidae. The transcript is spliced from 2 exons. The record is from RefSeq and is a predicted model, not a curated record.